CUCGCAACUCGCUGUUAAAUAUGAACGUAUCUCAAGCUAUAUUAGACUUAUUUGAAAAAUUAAAAAAUAUAAAAAAAGAAAACUGUAUUUUGAAUGUCAGAAAGGGAUAUUAUAAUAAUAAAACGAAUGAUUCCGGUUAUGUUGAUAAAAAAGGUGACUCAUUUAAUAGAGGGUUUUGUUAUGAAGACCAUGACGACAAUGAUGAGGAUACGAUGUAUAAUAACCUGUUUAGUCUCGAAAACGAGCAAGAAAAAGAGAAAGAAAAGGAGAAAGAGAAAGAGAAAGAGAAAGAAAAGGAAAAGGAGAAAGAGAAAGAAAAAGAAAAAGAAGAAGAAAAGAUAACAGAAGAUGAUAAAAAGAAGAAUAUAAAAAUCAAAAAAGAUGAAUAUAAAAUAUACAGAUGGACAAUGGACGAUGUAAAUAAUGAUCUAUUUGGUAUUAAAAAAAAAAACAAAAAUGAUAAAACAGAUGAUAAUUCACAAAAUGAUAAACCAAACUCUGGUUCAUUAUCUUUUAUAAAUAACAAACUGAAUGAUAAUUUUAACACUUUUAAAAAUGAUAAUAAUCAAUUAUUUAUACCGUUAAAUAAAAUGUGUGUUAAUGACAUUUAUUUAAAUUUUCCUUCUUACAUAUAUGUAUCUAAAAAUUUUAUAAAUUAUGAUUUNNNNNNNNNNNNNNNNNNNNNNNNNNNNNNNNNNNNNNNNNNNNNNNNNNNNNNNNNNNNNNNNNNNNNNNNNNNNNNNNNNNNNNNNNNNNNNNNNNNNUUUCCUUCUUACAUAUAUGUAUCUAAAAAUUUUAUAAAUUAUGAUUUUAUUAAUACUAAAAAUACUAAAAAAUUAAAAAACGUUAUGAUGGUUGUUGAAUGUGUUCAUAAUAAUAUAAACAGUAUGAAUCAAUCAAUAAUAAAUAAUAUGGACAAAAACAGUAACUAUGAUAUAUAUGCGGAAAAAGAAUAUUUAAAAAAAGUAUGGGAAACAUUUGAAGAUAACAAAAUAAAUGAAAUUAUUAAUAUAUUGGAUAUAAAUCCGUUUAAAUAUACAUACGAUUUGGAAAAAAUGAUAAAAAAUUAUUUUGAAAAAAAUAGUAGUACACCAAAUUUCUUAAAUUUUACAAAUAUAUUAAAUAAAUUGGAAUUAUAUUUUAGUAAUAAAAAUAAAAAAUAUAUUAUUUUAAGUUUACAAGAAGCAGAAACAUUGCGGUAUUAUAUUCACAAAAAGAAAAACGUUGAAAAAAUGCUUAGUGCUAUACGCGAUGAUGCUAUGUAUUCUGAAAUAAACCUUCAUCGUAGUUCUUCGUUAAUAAGAGAUUGUGCCUCAAAUGGGUAUUAUGAAAGUAGCAACAUAGUACAGAUAGAUAAAGAGUUAGGAGGUGGGUAUAAACAUGUGAGUGAGCACGGACAUGAUGAGAAAACUGAGGUUGACAUUUUUUCUAAUGCAUGGGUAAACGUCAAUGCUAAUGCUACUACAGAUGCUCGUGUUACUACAGAUGCUCGUGUUACUACAGAUGCUCGUGNNNNNNNNNNAGAUGCUCGUGUUACUACAGAUGCUCGUGUUACUACAGAUGCUCGUGCUACUACAGAUGCUCGUGCUACUACAGAUGCUCGUGCUACUACAGAUGCUCGUGCUACUACAGAUGCUCGUGCUACUACAGACACUUCUAAGAAAGACAGCUUUAGUAAUAACUUGAAUAUGUUAAAUAUUUUUUAUCAAACAGAUGAACACAAUAAUAAAACUUUAGAUGAUAAUAGUGGUAAUAUAUAUACUGAUGAAUUAAGCGGGUGCCUAAAUGACGAAUUAAUUAAAGAAGAUACAGCGGCUUCUGUAUGGGGUUUGGAUGAAGACCUCGAUAAAAUAGUAUUAGAUUUUAACAGUAUUGAUAAAUUGAACAACGACAAGAGUGAUGUAACUCCUAGUGUGAUCAAUCAGGUUAACGAAGAGAAAAUCUUAGAACCCAAUAUCACCAACACUAACACCAACAGCAACGCUACCAACAACACCAACAACACCAACAACACUACCAACAACACCAACAACAACAACAACACCACUACCAACAACAAUAUAAUUGAGAUAAAAGAAGAAAAAAAAAAAAAAAGAGCAAACAAGAAUUAUGAAAAAAUAUUAAAAUUGUUAAAUAUAUUUGAAAAAGAAAAAAAAAAGAUUAUAGAAGACGGCAAUGUUGCUAACGCUUUACAUAUCUUUAAUGAUGUAAAUAUAAAUAUUUAUAAUUAUAGUUUUUGGUUUACACCUGUUGAGAUAUCAGAUAAAAAUAAUUUAAGAAAAUAUAUAUCAAGACAAAUUCAAAUCGUUUAUAGUGUUUGUAAAUUUUUUAAUUCGGACACGAAAUUUAUUGAUGCUCACGUUAAUUUGCUAUUACAGUUUUUAAAUUUUAAUAGUCCACAACAUCGCUUCACUUAUUUUAAUGAGUUGUAUUUAUUAAGAAGGGUUGUAAAAAAUAAAUGGACAGGUAGCUGUGGCGGAAUGACAGGCGUCAACUCUUAUCCUACAUACUACUAUGGACAGUCUUCUUCCAAAUUUGUAGAAAACAAAUAUAUAAAUAUAAAUGAUAAUAAAAAAAUGGAACUUGAGUUUCUUGAAAAAAGGUUAUUUGAAGGUAAUGGAGAUAUUUAUGCUUUUAAACUUAUGCAAGAAACAGUAAGACAAUGUUUAAUAAAAAAACAAUUAACUUUAGAAACCAUUUUUAAUAAAGAAUUGAAUUAUAUAUGUACAACUCAAGAUAUACAGAUUUUAUUUGAUUUUUUAAACAUUUAUGAUCCUCAUUAUAUAAAUGUACUACUGGAUAUUUUAGGAAAAAAUAUAUCACUACAAGAAUUAUGUUUUACAUUAAAUCCAAUAGAUGAUAAACAAAAAAAAAUUGAUUAUAAAAAAGAUAUAUGGCCAAUAGAUAGUAAUAAUAUUACUACUAACGUAAAAAAAUAUGAUACAGAUUUUAUUAAAGGUGUUGAUAGUUGUUUAAAAAAAUUUAAAUUUAAUUUGGUAGAACAUACAAAUUUUAAGUUAGUAUGGGCAGGCAAAAUAUGCAAUGAGCGAAUAGUUCAGGAUGUGGAAAAAGACGUGAUUUCUGGAAAAGUAGGAAAUGUCAUUAGUUCUAGUAGCUAUACAAAUGGUAACAUAUAUAGCGAUAAUAAUGUCUAUAAUGGUGGUAGUAGUGGUGCUAACUACGGCACUGUUAUUAAUUACAGUAGUGGUAAUAACAAACCAAAUGAGCAAAAACAAACAAAACCUGACUCGAUACGUGGAAUGGGUAAUAAUUUAAUAAAUGACGUUUUUGAUAUAAAUAAUUUUCAUACAAAUGAAAAUAAUCAUUUUUAUUCUGAACAAAAUAUAAGUCAUCUAAAAGCUGUAAAUGAACCAUUUUAUAUAUAUGAAGUUGAAAAUAUUGAUCCAAAAGAUAGAGGAAUAAUGAGUAAAAAUAAACAAAAAAUACCAGUUGGGUAUUAUAUAUCUAACAAAGCAGUUGAUAAUAUAUUUUUUAUAAUAGAAAUGACAGAUACCUCUAUAAAUAGUAUGUAUACAAGCAGUUCUGCACAAGAAAUAUUAACAUUAUUAUUCCCUCACCCCAAAAAAUAUUUACUACUAUGGCAUGAAGAUUAUUCUACGAAAAGUGUAGAUGAAUGCUUACAUAUAUGGAAACCGCUUCUUUCUUCUAAUAAAAUCACGAGUACAAAAUUUUUAGGUUUUGUUGCAACACAAGGUCCUAACAUACCACCAUUAAACAAAAUUAGAGCAGUUCCUAAAUCACUAAUCACAAAUAUCAAUCAAAAAAAUUGAACAACUUUUUACUCGGAUAAUAGUUUUUUUUUUGAAAAUUCAGGUGUACAAGGGAACUUGAAUGUUCCUUUUUAUUGGAAACAAAAAAAAAAAAAAAAAAUAAAAUAAAAAAAAUAAAAAAAAAACUCGUGUGG
Molecule: long non-coding RNA, 3925 nt
Organism: Piliocolobus tephrosceles (Ugandan red Colobus)
Lineage: Eukaryota; Metazoa; Chordata; Mammalia; Primates; Cercopithecidae
Source: Ensembl